Molecule: long non-coding RNA, 1274 nt
Organism: Ochotona princeps (American pika)
Lineage: Eukaryota; Metazoa; Chordata; Mammalia; Lagomorpha; Ochotonidae
Exons: 2
Source: RefSeq, a predicted model, not a curated record
CAGGUGAGGUUUUGAAAAGCCAGUGUGCUGUCAGGGACUCUCUCCCCAGGUCCCAGCAGCUUGCGCCUCCCUCCCUCUGGUUCUCUGCUCAGGUGCUUGUAUAGGAAGAGAGUCUCCUUUCACAGCUUUCUGUGGAAGAGCCCUUAACCCACCCCACAGUCACACUCUGCCUUAUCCUGCUCAGAGCACUUUGGUUGGACUGUGCAAGAGCAGGUGACACUGACUUCCAGGUGUUCUUUUCUGUUUCAUUGUUUCCUUGCUAUAGUGUAUGCUCCCUUGAGGGCAGGUGCUCUCAUUGCUUUCUUUUCAAUAUUGGAAAUAUCAUCUCAUUGCACUCAGAUUAUAUUUAUGGGAAGAAUGUAUCAGAUCCCCUUGCAACUGCAGUAAGGACGUGUUCUGUUUGUAAGAAUUAGGAGUUGAAAAUGAAGUGUUUUACUGCUGCUUCUCUAUCACUGUGCAGGUAACUUUCUGUCCACUAGAGGGAAGCGUGGGAAAGCUUCUUGGAGGGCUCUGAAAAAGUGGAUCUACCAUUACAAGCUUUCCAAAGGAAAUAACUUAGAAAAGAGAAUAUCAAAAACAUAAUACUCUGUCUCACUUGUGUACUCCAGCUAUCUGAAGAGAUGCAAGUGUAACUUAAUGUGAGGGAAAAUCCAUCACCUUAUCAGCCUCACACUGCACUUCCCAGAGUCCUUAGUCCUGGAAACGCUGGCCCAGGGCAGUGACUGAGGAGUGCGUCACACAUCCCUUAUGGUGGUGUAAAGUGGUUCAUCUUUUGUGGAUUUCAUAUUUUCACCUGUUCUGGUGUUUAUGUGCGGACAGCCGAUUCCAGAGUGGAUGUUUCCAGCUGAAGUACUCGUGCCUUACCACACAGAUGCCAAGAACUGUGGUUACGUUCUGGAUCCUGCCAAAUUCCCUGAAGCAAGGCUUGAACUCGCCAGGAAGUAUGGCUAUAUUUUACCCGAUAUCACUAAAGAUGAACUCUUCAAGAUGCUCAGUACUCGAAAGGAUCCAAGGCAGAUUUUCUUUGGCCUUGCCCCUGGAUGGGAAGUGAAUAUGGCAGAUAAGUGAAUGCUGAAACCUACAGAUGAAGAAACUGCUCAUGAAUUCCCUUCUAGAAAGCAGAGUGUGGAGAGAGUAUCAGAGAAGAGACUAAAUCAUACAGAAUUUUCACUGCAUUUUCCUGCUGAACAGUUCUCAAGAUGUUGAUGUCAGUUUUCAGUGCAGUAAUCUCUUUUUCCUUUUCAUGUAAAAUUAAAAUUACAGGAAGGACUGCA